This 4075-nucleotide long non-coding RNA is filed under the name Homo sapiens (human). RNAcentral's name for it is "HSALNT0056378". The record is from RNAcentral. Lineage: Eukaryota; Metazoa; Chordata; Mammalia; Primates; Hominidae.
CUCAGCUCACUGCAACUUCUGACUCCUGGGUCCAAGCAAUUGUCCUGCCUCAGUCUCCCAAGUAGCUGGGAUUAUAGACACGUGCCACUAUGCCCAGCUAAGUUUUGUAUUUUUAGUUGAGAUAGAGUUUUGUCAUGUUGGCCAGGCUGGUUUCGAACCCCUGGGCUGAAGUGAUCCACCUGCCUUGGCCUCCCAAAGUGCUGGGAUUACAUGUGUGAGCCACCGCACCUAGCCCUAAUUUUUUUUUUUUUUUUUUUUUUUUUUGUAGAGAUGAGGUCUCGCUAAUUUGCCCAGGCUGGUCCUGAACUCCUGGGUUCAACUAAUUCUCCUGCCUCAGCCUCUCAAAGUGCUGGGAUUACAGGCAUGAGACACCACGCCAGGCUGGUGGUGAGUUUUAAAAUUUUCCAGUGCCUCAGUGUUUCUACCUGUAGAAUGCCAAAAAGUAGAUGGCAUCUUUGCGAGGAUGAAGCCGACUAGCUUUUUUUAAUUUUUUUUUGAGACAGAAUUUCUCUCUUGUCACCCAGGCUGGAGUGCAAUGGUGUGAUCUUGGCUCACUGCAACCUCUGCCUCCUGGAUUCAAGUGAUUCUCCUCUCUCAGCCUCCAAGUAGCUGGGAUUACAAAGCCAGCUAGCUUUAAGAUACAGUGUUGGGCAUCACAUUUUGGCACGGAGCAGGCACUCUUUUCUUUGCCCUCAGGUGGGACUUAGCCACCACAAGCCUUCCCUGGUGUGUGCAGUGGGUGAUGAAUGCUUGCCUGCUCAGCACCCACUACAUGGUGGGCUGGGUCACAUUACUCUGACUCCCCCUUGAGCUUCAGUCCGUGCCUGGUUCAAGAUGUAUUGACUCAACUCGAGGAUCCAGAGGUGGGAUGUGGCUCUGGCCUGGCCAGAGGACCGAAGAUGCUGCAUGCCAUGGCUACAGCAACUGGUUCAGCUUUGGGCUCAUGUCCUAGUCAGAGCCAAUGAGAUGUAAUCUUGGGAUAUCUGCUGGGCUGUUGGGAAGGGGACAGGCUGCCCUGCUCAUCCCCAUUCCUGAUGCUGAGGGAUCUGAGAAAAUCACUUGUAAAAUUCGGGGGUGUUUGGAAGAUGGGGAGACUGAUGUCUCCUUCUCUCUACAGACAUCUGAUCAGCUACAGAGCUUGACUGACCUACCCAGAGGCAGAAUGAUAUGGUGGUUAAAAGUGUGCCCUGGGCCGAGAUCUUGCCACUGCACUCCAGCCUGGGUGACAGAGUGAGACUCCAUCUCAAAAGAAAAAAAAAAGUGUGCUCUGGGCUGGUCGCAGGAGUUUAUGACUGUAAUCCCAGCAGUUUGGGAGGCUGAGGCAGGAGGAUCGCUUGAAGUCAGGAGUUUGAGAUCAGACCCUAUCUCUAGAAAAAUGUUUUAAAAAUUAGCUGGGUUGGUGGUGAAUGCCUGUAGUCCCAGCUACUCAGGAGGCUGAGGCGGGAAGAUUGCUGGAGCCCGGGAGUUCAAGGCUGCAGUGAGCCAUGAUCAGGCCACUGCACUCCAGUUUGAGGGACAGAGAGAGACCCCAUCUCCCUAAAGCACAAAAAAGUGUGCUCUGGUGCCACACUGCCUGGUUAGAUCCUUUGUCCACCACUUAGAUGCAUGUUAUAUAAAUGCUCUCCUCAGUUUCCUCAUCUGUAACUUGGGGAUGAUAAUGCUGCCCCAUUAAGUGGUUAUGGGGACUAAAUUCAUGUGGGCGCAUUGGUAAGUAUUCAACAAGCUUGAUUUUUUCCUGGAGAGGGAGAAAGAGCAUACAGUGAAGUGGCAUGCUCAGGUGCAUUGGGGCAAGGAUUAUUUCCUCUGGCUUCUGCCUCCUGGGAGGUACUAAGGAUGGAUCUGAAAUGUGUCUGCAGACCCCAGAGUUGGGGACUGCAGAGGGAAAUUGAGAUCAGGGACCCCAGUCUGGCAGAAAUGGGUGCAGCAUGGGGCAUUGGGUUCCUUCCAUCAGAGGCAUGGGGUGUGUUGCAGACAGUCAUGAGAUGUGGCUGAAUCUUGCAAGGGAGCUGCAGUCCUAGGGUUGCUGCUUGAGACAAUGACCGCUGUCAGUGGAACCUGGUGACCUUCACCCUUCUCUGUCAGGCUGCAGACAGCAAGAGAUGGCAGGAGGUUACACCCAACAGGAAAAGGGCCAUUGCUAUCCCACAGGUUGCCAUAGGAGGAGAUGACAUCUCUUCCCUCUCCUCCUCCAGCAGUGUCAGCUGGGGAAGAGGUGGGUGGGGGUGCACAAAAGAGUAGACCACAGACCAUGCUCCUUCUCCUCCAGUCUGCUGGGGCCCCAAGAGAGUCUGCAGCCCUUGGCCAGGGACCGGCUGAUACAGGAGAACAAAAGAUCUCAGUCUGGGAUAACAUGGUGGUGCAGCUGAUCCUCUGGAACUCCCUGUGAGAUCAGACUGGAGCCAGUCUCCAGCUGAGACCACAUCUCACUUAGCUCCUUCCCUGCCAUAUCCUGUUUUCCUUACUCCUAUCUACUGAGAGUCCUGAAUGAAUUACAUGCACUCAAUCCCUGCCUCAGGCUCUGCUUUUAGGGAACUUGACCUAAGACAGAUAUCUUAGUACUAAAUACUUUGCAAGGCCUCAGAAGCUCUGCUAUCCACAGGCAGGUGAGAUAUUACCUUCCCUACCACCUGGCAGUCAUAGUCUAUGAUGCGAUUCAGCUUUGUGGAAGUGCUUCUGUAAAGAACUUCCCCCAACUUAAGAUGAUCUUAAUUUGCUUACUUGUUUACUGUCCAUUUAGCUGCUGUAAAAUGUGAGCUCCAAAUCAGUGGUCAUGUCUGGUUAGUUACCCAUUUCCUGGGACCUAGAACGGGCCUAGCUCAGAGCAUGUGCUCACUAUUGAUGGAAUGCAUGUUGAAAGAACGCAUGAAUCUCAUCUCCUUUUGUGGGUGAAAAACUCAUCCUAUUCUCACUCCUGAUUAACUUUCCUUCUUUUUUUUUUUUUUUUUUUUUUUCAAAACGGAGCCAUGAUCUGUCACCCAGGCUGGAGUGCAAUGGUGUGAUCUCAUCUCGCUGCAACCUCUGCCUUCUGGAUUAAAGCAAUUCUCCUGCCUCAGCCUCCCGGGUAUCUGGGAUUACAGUUGCACGCCACCACACCUGGCUAAUUUUUUGUAUUUUUAAUAGAGACAGGGUUUCACCAUGUUGGCCAGGCUUGUCUUGAACUCCUGACGUCGUGAUCUGCCUGCUUUGGCCUCCCAAAGUCCUGGGAUUACAGGCAUGAGCCACCGUACCCAGCCACUCUUGAUUAACUUAAUGGAAAUAUUUACAGAGAUUCUUUCUCUUCUGGGUUCUAGCGUCUUAUCUGUAACCUCUGCAGGUGCAGGAAUGAGAGGCAGCAGCCGGGGAAGCCAGGGUCUCCGGAAGUCCUUGUCUCUGGGCGGUGAUCCAGAGAGAGAGAGAGAACACGAUUGUCUCAGCAAUGGGUCUUCUUCUGAGUCUUGAAGGAGCACUUCCAGAGCCUCUCAGUGUUAAACAUCGUGUUGUGAAUGACUCCGUGAGCUCUGACCCAGUGACCUUGGGGAUAAAGGAGGGGAGGUACGGAUAAGCUCUUCGAAUGGAUGUUGCCGGGGUGUCAGUGUUCUUUGAGGGCACAGACUAUGUGUCACUAAAGAAAGAGCCCAGUGCCUUUUCUCAUUGCUCAAGAGAUUGAAGGGGUAGUAAGAAAAGAUGUUAAGUUAUAAACACGUUUCAGUUUUGGUACCAGUUGAACCAAUUUACGUUUUGAAGAGGAAAGAGUCUUGCCUACAAUGUCAGCCCCCGGGUUUUCCUUCUGCUUAUGGAAUCCAGGCAAUGGGCAAAGAGAAAAAGAAAACUAAGGAAUCAGCCAGGUGCAGUGGCUCAUGCUUGUGAUCUUGGCACUUUGGGAAGCUGAGGCAGGUGGACUUCUUGAGUGCAGCAGUUCAAGACCAGCCUGGCCAACAUAGUGAGACCCCGUUUCUACAAAAAAUACAAAAAGUUGCUGAGCAUGGUGACAUGCACCUGUAGUCCCAGUUACUUGGGAGGCUGAGGUGGGAGAACUACUUCAUCCCAGGAGGCUGAGGCUGCAGCGAGCCAUGAUCGUGCCACUAUACUCCUGCCU